RNAcentral lists this long non-coding RNA (914 nucleotides) under Coccomyxa subellipsoidea. Its description in RNAcentral is "long non-coding RNA (CSUB_LNC000005)". The record is from RNAcentral. Lineage: Eukaryota; Viridiplantae; Chlorophyta; Trebouxiophyceae; Coccomyxaceae.
GUAAUAAUUAUAACAAUAAUAAUCAUAAUAAUAAGAUAGUGCCUUGUGACAACGCCACCGUGACCACCGUGUAUAUAGUGCCACGUCUCGGUGACGUGAUCACCACUGCUAUGGUGGCCUACCACUGCCAGGCUGGGUGUCACCACUUGAAGCAUAACGUUUCAACUGAGUCUACAGUCUGUGUGGUAAUCUCAGAAUCCUUGUGUUUCAAGGCCCCUUGGCGGCCAAGGAGCAUCUUUCAAGUUGAACGUCAUUGUUACUAAGAUUAAUGCACGUUUUCCAGUCCGACUCUUGCGGACGGUCCUUAAGGACUGUAUAUAAGUCAAGCAACACCUAAAAUAUUGCUUUCCAGUCUUCUCGACUCUUGCACUUCCUUCAGCAGUCAUAUGUGCAUUGCACAUGUGCAUGCAUGCCUUAUGAUGAUAGCAUCAACGUCAAAAAGAAAGUAGACGCCAUCAUGGUGCCAGGCACCCUCCCAUAAUGAUGAAACCUGGGGCGUGAUUAAGAAGGCAGAGGUCAACCAUUCCAAAGGCCAUAUUGACCUCACCACCUUGAGGGCAUGGGUUCACCCAUGCCCAUUAAUCACGAGUUAAUGUACUCAUUGCACAAAAUUUAUGAGGAUUUGUUGAGUGUCUUCUUAGCAUUGCUUCUGGACACCCCUAAGAGGAUCAUAACUCACAUACAGCCUUCCAGCUCUUCAAUGGUCUGCCUCUAACCCCCGAAGCCUGGGCCAGUGCCUGACAUCUUUUCAAAGUUUGACAUCUGAUUAAAGAUAUUCUCAUCCGAUUCCAGUCAAUAGAUUUCAAGAAUCUUGCUUGAACGCCUGUAUACUUUUUCCCUCUCGAUACGUAUACGGUAUACCCAAAUGUUGCCCCAAUUAUGUGGCUGCAGACGCACUGCGUGUAAACCCUAAG